GUGAGGAAUUUUGCGCAAUGGGGGAAACCCUGACGCAGCAACGCCGCGUGGGUGAAGAAGGCCUUCGGGUCGUAAAGCCCUGUCAGGUGGGAAGAAUGUCCCCAGGGUGAACAAUUUUGGGGAGUGACGGUACCACCAGAGGAAGCACCGGCUAACUCCGUGCCAGCAGCCGCGGUAAUACGGAGGGUGCGAGCGUUGUUCGGAAUCAUUGGGCGUAAAGGGCGUGCAGGCGGUUGGGUAAGUCUGAUGUGAAAGCCCGGGGCUCAACCCCGGAAGUGCAUUGGAAACUGUCCGACUUGAGUACCGGAGAGGAUGGGGGAAUUCCCGGUGUAGAGGUGAAAUUCGUAGAGAUCGGGAGGAAUACCAGUGGCGAAGGCGCCCAUCUGGACGGAUACUGACGCUGAGACGCGAAAGCGUGGGGAGCAAACAGGAUUAGAAACCCCAGUAGUCC
Molecule: ribosomal RNA, 451 nt
Filed under: uncultured bacterium
Lineage: Bacteria
Description: bacterial SSU rRNA
Rfam family: Bacterial small subunit ribosomal RNA
Source: RNAcentral